ACCGAAGAGUGAUACUCAGGAGACACACGGCGGGUGCUAACGUUCGUCGUGGAGAGGGAAACAACCCAGACCGCCAGCUAAGGUCCCAAAGUCUAUAUUAAGUGGGAAACGAAGUGGGAAGGCUUAGACAGCUAGGAUGUUGGCUUAGAAGCAGCCAUCAUUUAAAGAAAGCGUAAUAGCUCACUAGUCGAGUCGGCCUGCGCGGAAGAUGUAACGGGGCUCAAAUAUAGCACCGAAGCUGCGGCAUCAGAAUUUAUUCUGUUGGGUAGGGGAGCGUUGUGUAAGCGGAUGAAGGUGGCUCGAGAGGGUUGCUGGACGUAUCACAAGUGCGAAUGCUGACAUAAGUAACGAUAAAACGAGUGAAAAACUCGUUCGCCGGAAGACCAAGGGUUCCUGUCCAACGUUAAUCGGGGCAGGGUGAGUCGGCCCCUAAGGCGAGGCUGAAAAGCGUAGUCGAUGGGAAACGGGUUAAUAUUCCCG
Molecule: ribosomal RNA, 480 nt
Filed under: Pasteurella multocida
Lineage: Bacteria; Pseudomonadati; Pseudomonadota; Gammaproteobacteria; Pasteurellales; Pasteurellaceae
Description: partial 23S ribosomal RNA
Rfam family: Bacterial large subunit ribosomal RNA
Source: RNAcentral